RNAcentral lists this ribosomal RNA (490 nucleotides) under uncultured bacterium. Its description in RNAcentral is "partial 16S ribosomal RNA". It matches the Rfam family "Bacterial small subunit ribosomal RNA", at positions 29 to 507 of the family's 1533-position model. The record is from RNAcentral.
AGUGAACGCUGGCGGUAGGCCUAACACAUGCAAGUCGAACUGCAGCACAGUAGUUCUUGCUCUCUAGGUUGCGAGUGGCGGACGGGUGUGGCAUACAUCUGAAUCUUCCCAUUCGUUGGUGAUAACUUAGGGAAACUUACGCUAAUACUGCAUACGACCUUCGGGUGUAUGUGUGUGAUCGCAAUACCUCUCUCGAUUGUAUGAGCCGAUGUCGGAUUAGCUAGUUAGCGGGGUAAUGGCCCACCAAGGCGACGAUCCGUAGCUGGUCUGAGAGGAUGAUCAGACACACUGGAACUGAGACACGGUCCAGACUCCUACGGGAGGCAGCAGUGGGGAAUAUUGGACAAUGGGCGCAAGCCUGAUCCAGCCAUACCGCGUGGGUGAAGAAGGACUUCGGGUUGUAAAGCCCUUUUGUUGGGAAAGAAAUCAUUCAGGCUAAUACCCUGGGAGGAUGACGGUACCAAAAGAAUAAGCACCGGCUAACUUCGUG